UACGAAGGGGGCUAGCGUUGCUCGGAAUUACUGGGCGUAAAGCGCACGUAGGCGGUCUUUUAAGUCGGGGGUGAAAUCCCAGAGCUCAACUCUGGAACUGCCUUUGAUACUGGGCAUCUCGAGUAUGGAAGAGGUGAGUGGAAUUCCGAGUGUAGAGGUGAAAUUCGUAGAUAUUCGGAGGAACACCAGUGGCGAAGGCGGCUCACUGGUCCAUUACUGACGCUGAGGUGCGAAAGCGUGGGGAGCAAACAGG
RNAcentral lists this ribosomal RNA (253 nucleotides) under uncultured bacterium. RNAcentral describes it as "partial 16S ribosomal RNA". It matches the Rfam family "Bacterial small subunit ribosomal RNA", at positions 524 to 776 of the family's 1533-position model. The record is from RNAcentral.